AAUAUUUAAUUAACAAAAAGGGGAAAUAGCAACUGUAGCUUGCCAAUAUUGAAGAGCCAUCACAGCCAUUUUGGAAUUGAAAGAAGCAACCCAAAGGACCUAAACUAUAUGCCAGAAUAAAUCAACAUUACUGCUUAAUGUUAAAAUCAGGUCCAAUAUCAUUUCUUCUUUUUAUUAUGGUAACUUAAUCAGAAGAGAGGAUCA
Molecule: unclassified non-coding RNA, 204 nt
Filed under: Hevea brasiliensis (rubber tree)
Lineage: Eukaryota; Viridiplantae; Streptophyta; Magnoliopsida; Malpighiales; Euphorbiaceae
Source: RNAcentral